Molecule: non-coding RNA, 138 nt
Organism: Xylaria intraflava
Lineage: Eukaryota; Fungi; Ascomycota; Sordariomycetes; Xylariales; Xylariaceae
Source: the annotation of a GenBank genome assembly
GCCCGGUUAGCUCAAUCGGUAGAGCGUGAGACUCUUAAUCUCAAGGUUGCGGGUGAGUGCACAAACAUUGCCCUGUGAGAAAAAAAGAGAGAAAUAUACUGACCGGCGACGUUAUAGGUUCGACCCCCGCAUCGGGCU